RNAcentral lists this ribosomal RNA (779 nucleotides) under uncultured bacterium. Its description in RNAcentral is "bacterial SSU rRNA". It matches the Rfam family "Bacterial small subunit ribosomal RNA", at positions 61 to 840 of the family's 1533-position model. The record is from RNAcentral.
GUCGAGCGAAGCACUUUGUUUUGAAUCUUCGGAGGAAGAACGAAGUGACUGAGCGGCGGACGGGUGAGUAACGCGUGGGCAACCUGCCUCAUACAGGGGGAUAACAGUUAGAAAUGACUGCUAAUACCGCAUAAGACCACGGUACUGCAUGGUACAGUGGUAAAAACUCCGGUGGUAUGAGAUGGGCCCGCGUCUGAUUAGCUGGUUGGUGAGGUAACGGCUCACCAAGGCAACGAUCAGUAGCCGACCUGAGAGGGUGACCGGCCACAUUGGGACUGAGACACGGCCCAAACUCCUACGGGAGGCAGCAGUGGGGAAUAUUGCACAAUGGGGGAAACCCUGAUGCAGCGACGCCGCGUGAGCGAUGAAGUAUUUCGGUAUGUAAAGCUCUAUCAGCAGGGAAGAAAAUGACGGUACCUGACUAAGAAGCCCCGGCUAACUACGUGCCAGCAGCCGCGGUAAUACGUAGGGGGCAAGCGUUAUCCGGAUUUACUGGGUGUAAAGGGAGCGUAGACGGCGAUGCAAGCCAGAUGUGAAAGCCCGGGGCUCAACCCCGGGACUGCAUUUGGAACUGUAUAGCUAGAGUGUCGGAGAGGCAGGCGGAAUUCCUAGUGUAGCGGUGAAAUGCGUAGAUAUUAGGAGGAACACCAGUGGCGAAGGCGGCCUGCUGGACGAUGACUGACGUUGAGGCUCGAAAGCGUGGGGAGCAAACAGGAUUAGAUACCCUGGUAGUCCACGCCGUAAACGAUGACUACUAGGUGUCGGGCAGCAAAGCUGUU